RNAcentral lists this ribosomal RNA (232 nucleotides) under uncultured bacterium. Its description in RNAcentral is "partial 16S ribosomal RNA". It matches the Rfam family "Bacterial small subunit ribosomal RNA", at positions 524 to 754 of the family's 1533-position model. The record is from RNAcentral.
UACGUAGGGGGCAAGCGUUGUCCGGAUUUAUUGGGCGUAAAGAGCGUGUAGGCGGCCAAACAGGUCCACUGUGAAAACUCGAGGCUCAACCUCGAGAGGUCGGUGGAAACCGUAUGGCUAGAGUCCGGAAGAGGAGAGUGGAAUUCCCGGUGUAGCGGUGAAAUGCGCAGAUAUCGGGAAGAACACCAGUGGCGAAGGCGGUUACCUGGAGCUUUGCUGACGCUGAUGGCGC